GGUUUUAUAGUGUAAUUGGUUAGCACCCAGGACUUUGAAUCCUGUAAUCUGAGUUCGAGUCUCAGUAGAACCA
Dictyostelium discoideum AX4 is the source of this 73-nucleotide transfer RNA. It matches the Rfam family "tRNA". From Rfam's summary of the family: Transfer RNA (tRNA) molecules are approximately 80 nucleotides in length. The record is from Rfam. NCBI's taxonomy places the organism in Eukaryota, Evosea, Eumycetozoa, Dictyosteliales, Dictyosteliaceae.